CAAUGACAAGAGGAGGAAAAGAAAACAAAAGUUAUCUGAGAGCAAGCUAGCAGAGAAAUUAAAAUAAUAUAUUCUACACUUCAAAGCCAUGGUGAUUUGUCUGGAAAAGUGAGGAUAAAAUGAGUAAUGAAUUUAACAGAGAUGGUAUUUAUAUUUCACAAGGGCAGAAUGAUCCCUAAAGAAUAAGAAAUGUGGAAGGAAACUGGAAAUAAAAUGGUAAGACAAGCAAAUAUAUAAAUGGAUCUGCUGUCAGACAAGAUAACAGUGAAGGUAUAAAACCUGAACAGAUGCAUCCAGCAGCUGUUUGAGAACUCUGAAAGCAUCUCCUGUCCUGGACUCAAUUCAGCAGGAAAUCUGGAAAUAGAA
RNAcentral lists this long non-coding RNA (366 nucleotides) under Homo sapiens (human). Its description in RNAcentral is "HSALNT0008575". Lineage: Eukaryota; Metazoa; Chordata; Mammalia; Primates; Hominidae. The record is from RNAcentral.